Long non-coding RNA from Poecilia latipinna (sailfin molly), 256 nucleotides. RefSeq lists it as uncharacterized. The transcript is spliced from 2 exons. The record is from RefSeq and is a predicted model, not a curated record. NCBI's taxonomy places the organism in Eukaryota, Metazoa, Chordata, Actinopteri, Cyprinodontiformes, Poeciliidae.
GUGUCAAUUUGUAGCCCAGUUUUUCUCCAAGAGAGAUGAAUCAGUCAGCAGCAGUUCUAACCCCGAUACCAGUAUAACCUCUCUCCUGUCCCAGUGAAAAAGGUGAGCAACAUUGUGUUCAGUGAUGAGCUAGUUAGCUUCAUUUCAUUGAGUGAUAGGGUUUUCUCCCACUUUGCCCUUUUUAGAAUUACACAACUAAAACAACAUAUUUAUUACUGAUAGAAAUUCAAACAAUCUUUAUAAAAUAAUAAUAAAA